AAGAAAAUGACGGUACCUGACUAAGAAGCCCCGGCUAACUACGUGCCAGCAGCCGCGGUAAUACGUAGGGGGCAAGCGUUAUCCGGAUUUACUGGGUGUAAAGGGAGCGUAGACGGAUGUGCAAGUCUGAAGUGAAAGCCCGGGGCUCAACCCCGGGACUGCUUUGGAAACUGUGUAUCUAGAGUGCCGGAGAGGUAAGCGGAAUUCCCAGUGUAGCGGUGAAAUGCGUAGAUAUUGGGAGGAACACCAGUGGCGAAGGCGGCUUACUGGACGGUAACUGACGUUGAGGCUCGAAAGCGUGGGGAGCAAACAGGAUUAGCUACCCUGGUAGUCCACGCCGUAAACGAUGACUACUAGGUGUCGGGUGUCAGAGACAUUCGGUGCCGCAGCAAACGCAAUAAGUAGUCCACCUGGGGAGUACGUUCGCAAGAAUGAAACUCAAAGGAUUUGACGGGGACCCGCACAAGCGGUGGAGCAUGUGGUUAAUUCGAAGCAACGCGAAGAACCUUACCUGGUCUUGACAUCCCGCUGACCGGACAGUAAUGUGUCCUUUUCUUCGGAACAGCGGUGACAGGUGGUGCAUGGUUGUCGUCAGCUCGUGUCGUGAGAUGUUGGGUUAAGUCCCGCAACGAGCGCAACCCCUAUCUUCAGUAGCCAGCAUUUGAGAUGGGCACUCUGGAGAGACUGCCAGGGAUAACCUGGAGGAAGGUGGGGAUGACGUCAAAUCAUCAUGCCCCUUAUGACCAGGGCUACACACGUGCUACAAUGGCGUAAACAAAGGGAAGCGAGACUGUGAGGUGGAGCAAAUCCCAAAAAUAACGUCUCAGUUCGGAUUGUAGUCUGCAACUCGACUACAUGAAGCUGGAAUCGCUAGUAAUCGCGAAUCAGCAUGUCGCGGUGAAUACGUUCCCGGGUCUUGUAAACAGCGCCCGUC
RNAcentral lists this ribosomal RNA (934 nucleotides) under uncultured bacterium. RNAcentral describes it as "bacterial SSU rRNA". It matches the Rfam family "Bacterial small subunit ribosomal RNA", at positions 463 to 1398 of the family's 1533-position model. The record is from RNAcentral.